AAAAAUAUCUGAAAGUAAAGUGAAUAAUAUCAUGAACCCCAUACACUCAUCUCCCAGCUUCAAGAAUUACCAAGUCAUAGCCGGUUUCGGUGCAUCUUCCACUGCCCGCCCCCACCCCACACAGGGUUAUUCUGAAACAAACACCAGCAUCAUUUAAUUUUAUUAUUGUAUUUCUUUUUUCUUUUCUUUUCUUUCUUUCUUUUUUUUUUUUUUUUUGAGAUGGAGUCUUGCUCUGUUGCUCAGGCUGGAGUGCAGUGGCGCAACCUUGGCUGACUGCAACCUCUGCCUUCUGAGUUCAAGCAAUUCUCUUGCCUCAACCUCCUGAGUAGCAGGGGCUACUGGCACACACCACCACACCCGGCUAAUUUUUGUAUUAUUGUAUUUCUUCUGAGAGAUAGGAUUUAAAAAAAAAACCUAUCCAUCAUGACACCUAAAAGUUAAUACAAAUUUCUUAAUAUCAUAAAAUAUCCAGUGCUCAAAUUUCCUCUAUUGUUAUUUAUUUAUUCUUUUCUUAAGCCCUUGGUUUGUUCAAAUCAGGAUGCAAACAAAGUCCAUACAUUGCAUUUGAUUGAUGUUUCUUAAGUCUUUCAGUCUGUAGCAACCCUACUCCUGCCCUUUUUUGUUUUUCUCCGCAAAUUAUCUGUUGAGGAAGUUGGGUCUUCUGUGCAGGAGGGUCUUCUGUAAUUCUGGAUUUUACUGAGUGCACCCCAUAAUGCAAUGUGUUCCUUAGUCCCCUCAAGUUCCUGUAAAAUGGUGGUUAGGUUUAUACUUCAUCAGAACCACCUUUGAUUUUUUGCUGACAAUCUUUCAUAGACGGUGCUAUGAAAUCCUCUUAUAUCAUAUCAGGCAGCACAUAAUAUCUGCUUGUCUUUCUGUGUGUAAUAUCAAGAUGGAUGGAUGGAUUCAGAUGUUGUCAGCCUAGUCCAUCCAUUAUAAACUCCCCAUCAGCUCUUCAACUCAUGGUUUUAGCAGACAUUGAUGAUUAUUGUUGCACCCAUUAUUUUUUUAAUCACAAAAGUCAUACAUGUAGGCUGAGAAUGGUGGCUCACGCCUGUAAUCCCAGCACUUUGAGAGGCUGAGAUGGGUGGAUCACUUGAGGCCAGGAGUUCGAGACCAGCCUGGUCAACAUGGUGAAACUCCAUCUCUACUAAAACUACAAAAAUUAGCUGGGUGUGGUGGCACACGCCUGUAAUCCCAGCUACUCGAGAGGCUGAGGCAUAAGAAUCUCUUGAACCUGCGAGGCAGAGGCUGCAGUGAGCCAAGACUGUGCCAUUGCACUCCAGCCUGGGUGACACAGCAAGCGUCUGUCUCAAAAAAAAAAAAAAAAGUCAUACAUGUAAAAUUGUAAAAAAAAAAAACCCAAAUAUCCAUCCAAAGGAGACUGAAAAGAUAAAAGCAGUAAUUAUAUCACACUGUAUUUAUACAUCAGGCAAUAUAGCAGUCAGAAUUUAAAAUCUAAAUAUAUCAUUUGGGGAGGCAUACAUAUGUGUUAAAAGUAAAAAAUAUGUAUAGGAAUGAUAAACUCCAAAUGUAAGGUAUUGUUUACUUCUUUUUGUAUGGGAGAAUGAGGAAUAGGACUGGGUUUCAAUUAUAUAUAUGAUUCAAUCAUAUAUAUAUAUAUAUAUAUAUAUAUAUAUAUAUAUAUAUAUAUACACACACACACACACACACACAUUUUGUUUAUUAACAGAGGUCUGUCUGAACUAUUUAUUGCAAAAUGUUAAGAUUUGUCAAAGCCAGAAGGUGUUAACUUUAUCUCUGUAGUUUCUUUGUAAGUUUAAAAUAUAAUUUUUUAAAAAAGGACUUGACAUAUAAACAUGGAAAAUAUUGCCAACUCAAAAGGAUGCAUAAUAAAAAAUAUAUUCUGUUCAUUUCAGACCCAUGGUUCUCCUCCUCGGAGACACUGAUUAUUACCCAUUUCAUAUGCAUCUUUCAGGAAUUGUCUAUGUAAAUGAAAGACUUAAUAUCCAAAAGAGCUGCUCCUUUCAGAAAAACCACUUUAAAACAUUUUUCAUUUUUCGGGACUUGCUCUAUUGCCUAGGUGCAGUGAUACAAUCAUAGCUCACUGCAGCCUCAAACUCCUGGGCUCGAGCAAUCCUCCCACCUCACCCUCCUGCAUAUUUGGGACUACAGGUACAUACCAUGCCCAGCUAAUUCAGAAAAACCAUGAGCCAUCUUUACACACAUGGACAUCUGACUGCACCCACCCAUGUGGGAGGCAGCCUAUAGACUGAGGCCUUCCAUCUGGAGAGUCCACUUUGUGAGCUUUUAUUUUGGAGACUCCCUGGAAACCAGUCUUUGUUUUCCCUGUCAACGGACCUGAAGCUAUCUGGUUAGUCUUUUCUUUUUUUUCUUUUUUCUUUUCUUUUCUUUUCUUGUUUGAGAUGGAGUCUUGCUGUCACUCAGGCUGGAGUGCAGUGGUGCGAUCUCGGCUCACUGCAACCUCUACCUCCUGGGUUCAAGUCUCCCAAAUAGCUGGGAUUACGGGUGCCUGCCACCAUGCUUGGCUAAUUUUUUUUUUUUUUUUUAGUAGAGACGGGGUUUCACCAUGUUAGCCAGACUGGUCUUGAACUCCUGACCUCAGGUGGGCAGAUCAUGAGGUCAGGAGUUCGAGACCAGCCUGACCAACAUGGUGAAACCCCAUCUCUACUAAAGAUAUAAAAAUUAGCUGGGCCUGGUGGCACAUGCCUGUAAUCCCAGCUACUCGGGAGGCUGAGGCAGGAGAAUCGCUUGAACCUGGGAGGCGGAGGUUGCAGUAAGCCGAGAUCCCACCAUUGCACUCCAGCCUGGGCAACAGAGUGUGACUCUGUUUCAAAAAAAUUAAAUAAAAAUAAAUAAGUAAAGUACAAAUACUGGUUGUUUUAUUUGUGAAUAUAUUGGCUUAUUAACAUGGGCUAAAAUUAGUAAUAAUAAUCUACCUAUUCUUUCUAAAAUAACAUGUUGACUUCUGUUAAGUAUAGGGUGACCAACUCAUUCCUUUGCCUGGAAUUUUCCGUUUUAGCACUUAAAGUCCUAUAUCCCAGGAAACCCUUCAGUUCUAAGCAAACUGGGAUAUUUGGUCACCAUAUUUAAGUUCCAAAUAAACAUUGGACAAGUUUGAAUAGGAGGUGGCACAUUUUAACAAAACAAGUAGUAAUCUUGGUCUUUGCCCUAAAAUGGAACUGUUAACCAAAUACUGUCCAUAUAAAGUAAAGAUUUUCUCAGAACUUGUGCUAUUAUUGUUGGGAGGUGCCUCACGCUUUUAGACAGCAGAAUAGUAUUCCAUUGUAUGACUUCACCAUCAUCUUAUUAAAUCUGUUCCUUACUGAUGGACUUUUCGUGUCUUUCCAGUGUUGUGCUACAAUAAACAAGUCUGCCAUAAAUGUCUUUAUUCAUCUGUUCUGUAAACUGGCAAAUUCUGUGUAACAAUUUGUUUUGAAAAUAAGGUCUUCCUGCUAAAAACAAAACUCAAAAAGCCACAGGAUUAAAGAGUCUUUCAUCUUGGG
RNAcentral lists this long non-coding RNA (3485 nucleotides) under Homo sapiens (human). RNAcentral's name for it is "HSALNT0330307". The record is from RNAcentral. Lineage: Eukaryota; Metazoa; Chordata; Mammalia; Primates; Hominidae.